RNAcentral lists this unclassified non-coding RNA (298 nucleotides) under Hevea brasiliensis (rubber tree). Lineage: Eukaryota; Viridiplantae; Streptophyta; Magnoliopsida; Malpighiales; Euphorbiaceae. The record is from RNAcentral.
GCCGAAAGCGUCAUCGCGUCGGUCUCCCUGUCGCGGGUCACCACAAGGCGCAGGCGGCCGAGUUCAGGGUGCCGCUUGCCGAUUUCGGCGAUCUGCUCCGGNNNNNNNNUACGAACAUGCCCUUGACCUUGGUGGUCUGGUCGGCGCGGCCCAUCCAGCCCUUGAUGCGCAUAUUGGUCCGCCCGCAGGGGCUUUGCCCGGCCAGCACGGCGCUGAGAUCGCCGAGCGCCAGGCGAACCCACGGAUGAUGCGGGUCGAGCGUUGUCACGACGAUUUCGCCGACGUCGCCGUCGGCCAC